GACGAACGCUGGCGGCGUGCUUAACACAUGCAAGUCGAACGGAAAGGCCCUGCUUUUGCGGGGUGCUCGAGUGGCGAACGGGUGAGUAACACGUGAGUAACCUGCCCUUGACUUUGGGAUAACUUCAGGAAACUGGGGCUAAUACCGGGUAGGAGCUCCUGCUGCAUGGGGGGGGUUGGAAAGUUUCGGCGGUUGGGGAUGGACUCGCGGCUUAUCAGCUUGUUGGUGGGGUAGGGGCUUACCAAGGCUUUGACGGGUAGCCGGCCUGGGAGGGGGACCGGCCACAUUGGGACUGAGAUACGGCCCAGACUCCUACGGGAGGCAGCAGUGGGGAAUAUUGCACAAUGGGCGGAAGCCUGAUGCAGCAACGCCGCGUGCGGGAUGACGGCCUUCGGGUGGUAAACCGCUUUCGCCUGUGACGAAGCGUGAGUGACGGUAAUGGGUAAAGAAGCACCGGCUAACUACGUG
This 468-nucleotide ribosomal RNA is filed under the name uncultured bacterium. RNAcentral's name for it is "partial 16S ribosomal RNA". It matches the Rfam family "Bacterial small subunit ribosomal RNA", at positions 28 to 507 of the family's 1533-position model. The record is from RNAcentral.